Molecule: non-coding RNA, 96 nt
Organism: Filobasidium floriforme
Lineage: Eukaryota; Fungi; Basidiomycota; Tremellomycetes; Filobasidiales; Filobasidiaceae
Source: the annotation of a RefSeq genome assembly
UUCUUACUGGUCUAUCGGCUAGGAUGCGCGCCUCUCAAUAAUCUUCGACAGAUCUUGUGCUCGCGCGAGGGCGGGGUUCGACUCCCCGGUAGGAAA